RNAcentral lists this transfer RNA (74 nucleotides) under archaeon. RNAcentral's name for it is "tRNA-Arg". It matches the Rfam family "tRNA". Rfam says of the family: Transfer RNA (tRNA) molecules are approximately 80 nucleotides in length. RNAcentral also lists the same sequence under 3 other names. The record is from RNAcentral.
AGGCCCGUAGUGUAGCCUGGAUAUCACAUAAGCUUGCGGAGCUUGUAACCCGAGUUCAAAUCUCGGCGGGCCUG